GUGACGCGCCUCUUUCUACCUGACUUUUAGCCGACUGUGCUCUGUCUCUACUCAGUCGUUCACUAUGUGCUCCUUUCUGUCCAUUAAGACUAAAAUAGUUAAUUGGUCAUAUGUUGGGGAAAACAGUGUGUUAACGUGUGUGAUUUGUAGUCUCCAGGGCUAAUCACUGACGGUGAUAAACGGAAAGCCUUGCCCCGCUGACCGCAAGCAGCACCCCUGAAGUAACGUCCUCACAGUUUCACAUAACCUCCGUCUCUGAGCAAACCCCCUGUGUUUCCAGGAUGUAGGGGGUUGUAAGGCAGCCAGCUAAGAAGACACAACAUUUAGCGAUACAUUUUUGAGUUACUCGAAGGGCUCUUCUCUUUUGGCAGACGCUAGCCGCCCCCCCCCCUCCCGCCAACGUCCUGUCCACUGAAGCACAGACGUCGGUCCUCCCACUCCCGUUACUCAUUUUGCCCAAAGAGUGAUAGACAUAGUCUUCCAUGUAGCUCUACGGAAAUCGGAUUUUCUGAGAUCUCGAAUGUGUUAAUAUCCUAGGGAACAACAGAGUGCCCCUGGCCUGGCUCCUGACAGCGCUUUCAGCCGAAGAGACGGUCACACUGGACGGCUCUAAAGGAGGUUGUACCAGUGUCUGGUUCAGGAGUAGUUUAGCCAACUUCACUAGCGUUCAUCAGCGGAGCUGAGAGAGCGUUAGAGCAGUGAACACAAAUGACACGCACUGCCCUACCUUUGCAUCACCUAAUUUCCAUUAAAGUUAAUUUUUUAGUUGGGUUA
Molecule: long non-coding RNA, 774 nt
Organism: Xiphias gladius (swordfish)
Lineage: Eukaryota; Metazoa; Chordata; Actinopteri; Istiophoriformes; Xiphiidae
Exons: 3
Source: RefSeq, a predicted model, not a curated record